Dermacentor albipictus is the source of this 550-nucleotide non-coding RNA. The record is from RefSeq and is a predicted model, not a curated record. NCBI's taxonomy places the organism in Eukaryota, Metazoa, Arthropoda, Arachnida, Ixodida, Ixodidae.
GCCAUCGGUGCUCUUCGAGAGGGAUUUCAAGCUGACCCUACUGAAUGGACGACUUGGCGACCACGGGAACCUGAAAAGGCGGUGGUGUAUCUGUUGGCGUCGGCUGUGCAUUGACAGGCGAGGCCUACCCCAUUGACGCUGACGUUGAAAGCCGGUGUCCUGGGCGCCUUCAGGUUGGGGAAUGCGUCCCUGUGGCGUACUGCGGGUGUGAAUGGCGCAUGCGGCGAAGGCGUACUCAACAUCAUGAAGAAGGGACGUCGCUGAUCUACUCGACCCUCGAGGAAUGACAGUGCCUUGGCUCUCUGCAGCGAAACAGCAGCAACAGCAAGGAGAAUGCACCUUCGCACACGUCCAAAGUUGCGGCUGGCAAACUGAAGACCGUGGGUUUCAAAUCGGUUCACCAUCCCCCUAUUCACCCGACCUGGCGCCUUCUGACUACCAUCUGUUUCCGAACUCGAAGAAACCCCUGAAGCGUCGCCAGUUUGACGGCAUUGUUGAUGUCAAACAUGGUGCUGAGAGCUUGUUUGACGACCUAUAACAAAAUUUUUUU